This 2129-nucleotide ribosomal RNA is filed under the name human gut metagenome. RNAcentral's name for it is "bacterial LSU rRNA". It matches the Rfam family "Bacterial large subunit ribosomal RNA", at positions 479 to 2641 of the family's 2925-position model. The record is from RNAcentral.
AGUGACCGAUAGCGCAUAGUACUGUGAAGGAAAGGUGAAAAGGACCCCGGGAGGGGAGUGAAAGAGAACCUGAAACCCUGUGUUUACAAGCUGUGGAAGUAUCAUCAGGAUACAACCGCGUACUUUUUGUAGAACGGUCCGGCGAGUUACGUUUACUGGCGAGGUUAAGCACUUAAGGUGCGGAGCCGAAGGGAUACCAAGUCUUAACAGGGCGUUAAGUCAGUGUACGUAGACCCGAAACCGGGUGAUCUACCCAUGUCCAGGUUGAAGUUGCCGUAAAAGGCAAUGGAGGACCGAACGCACAUCCGUUGAAAAGGGUGGCGAUGAGGUGUGGGUAGGGGAGAAAUUCCAAUCGAACCCGGAGAUAGCUGGUUCUCCUCGAAAUAGCUUUAGGGCUAGCCUCGUAUUAGUCUUGCGGAGGUAGAGCACUGAAUAUCCUAGGGGGCGUCAAAGCUUACCGAAGAUUAUCAAACUCCGAAUGCCGCGUAGAUGAUGUACGGGAGUCAGACUGCACGAGAUAAGUUGGGUAGUCAAAAGGGAAAGAGCCCAGACCUACAGCUAAGGUCCCAAAGUGCGUGUUAAGUGGAAAAGGAUGUGGGAUUUCGAAGACAACUAGGAUGUUGGCUCAGAAGCAGCCAUACAUUCAAAGAGUGCGUAAUAGCUCACUAGUCGAGAGGUCCUGCGCCGAAAAUGUCCGGGGCUAAAACACGACACCGAAGCUGUGGAUCCGAAAGGAUGGUAGAGGAGCAUUCUUAAGUCGACGAAGCUGUACUGUAAGGAGCAGUGGAGAGUUAAGAAGAGAGAAUGCCGGAAUGAGUAGCGAGAUUUAAGUGAGAAUCUUAAAGGCCGAAUAUCUAAGGUUUCCAGGGUAAAGCUGAUCUUCCCUGGGUAAGUCGGGGCCUAAGGCGAGGGCGAGAGCCGUAGUCGAUGGAUAACAGGUUGAAAUUCCUGUACUGCUUAUGGACAGAACUGUGGGGACGCAGAAGGAGAGCACGAGCCGGAAAUGGAAAAGCCGGUACAAGCGUAUAGCAGUCAUGCAGGCAAAACCGCAUGAAAAAUGUAAAGCGUUAUGUGGAUCGAACAUUAGUAGAGAAGCGUGUGAGCCAGCUGCCAAGAAAAGCCGCUAUUGUUUCAUAAGUACCCGUACCGUAAACCGACACAGGUGGAUGAGGAGAGAAUCCUAAGGCCGACGGAAGAAGCAUUGUUAAGGAACUCGGCAAAAUGACCCCGUAACUUCGGGAGAAGGGGUGCCCACGCAAGUGAGCCGCAGAGAACUGGCCCAAGCAACUGUUUAGCAAAAACACAGGUCUAUGCAAAACCGAAAGGUGAGGUAUAUGGGCUGACGCCUGCCCGGUGCUGGAAGGUUAAGAGGAGAGGUUAGCGCAAGCGAAGCUUUGAAUUUAAGCCCCAGUAAACGGCGGCCGUAACUAUAACGGUCCUAAGGUAGCGAAAUUCCUUGUCGGGUAAGUUCCGACCCGCACGAAAGGCGUAAUGAUUUGGGCACUGUCUCGACAAUGCACCCGGUGAAAUUGAAAUACCAGUGAAGAUGCUGGUUACCUGCGCCAGGACGGAAAGACCCCAUGGAGCUUUACUCCAGCUUGAUACUGGGAUUCGGUAUUGCAUGUACAGGAUAGGUGGGAGGCUAGGAAAUGGUAACGCCAGUUGCCAUGGAGCCAUUGUUGGGAUACCACCCUUGCAGUACUGGGUUUCUAACCAGCAGCCGUGAUCCGGCUGGGGGACAAUGUCAGGUGGGGAGUUUGACUGGGGCGGUCGCCUCCGAAAGGGUAUCGGAGGCGCUCAAAGGUUCCCUCAGAAUGGUUGGAAACCAUUCGAAGAGUGCAAAGGCAGAAGGGAGCUUGACUGCGACACCGACGGGUGGAGCAGGUACGAAAGUAGGACUUAGUGAUCCGGUGGUAUAAAGUGGGAUUGCCAUCGCUCAACGGAUAAAAGCUACCCUGGGGAUAACAGGCUUAUCACUCCCAAGAGUUCACAUCGACGGAGUGGUUUGGCACCUCGAUGUCGGCUCAUCGCAUCCUGGGGCUGUAGUAGGUCCCAAGGGUUGGGCUGUUCGCCCAUUAAAGCGGUACGCGAGCUGGGUUCAGAACGUCGUGAGACAGUUCGGUCCCUAU